UACGUAGGGUGCAAGCGUUAAUCGGAAUUACUGGGCGUAAAGCGUGCGCAGGCGGUUAUAUAAGACAGAUGUGAAAUCCCCGGGCUCAACCUGGGAACUGCAUUUGUGACUGUAUAGCUAGAGUACGGCAGAGGGGGAUGGAAUUCCGCGUGUAGCAGUGAAAUGCAUAGAUAUGCGGAGGAACACCGAUGGCGAAGGCAAUCCCCUGGGCCUGUACUGACGCUCAUGCACGAAAGCGUGGGGAGCAAACAGG
Molecule: ribosomal RNA, 253 nt
Filed under: uncultured bacterium
Lineage: Bacteria
Description: partial 16S ribosomal RNA
Rfam family: Bacterial small subunit ribosomal RNA
Source: RNAcentral